Molecule: long non-coding RNA, 399 nt
Organism: Bos taurus (domestic cattle)
Lineage: Eukaryota; Metazoa; Chordata; Mammalia; Artiodactyla; Bovidae
Source: Ensembl
CAGCGACUUCGAGAAUCUCUGCAUACUCUCCUCCUACAAACAACCAAAUAUCUAGAAAAUAAAAGGAUGCCCAAUGGAGAAAGUCCCCUGGCUCCUCCUGAAUCUCAUGCAAAAGGCUGGAACUCUCAAUCCCUGACAGCUUCUGGAUCCUUCCUUCAGCAUCAAACCUCAAGAUGGCAGCCUUCUGGCUAGACUACAACCAGAACUUUUACCACUCAGUGAUUAUAUACAUGAUCAUAAUACAGAAGAACUGUACAAAAAAGAUCUUCACGACCCAGAUAAUCACGAUGGUGUAAUCACUGACCUAGAGCCAGACAUCCUGGAAUGUGAAGUCAAGUGGGAGGUGAUAGAAUUCCAGUUGAGCUAUUCCAAAUCCUGAAAGAUGAUGCUGUGAAAGUG